Non-coding RNA from Acanthosepion pharaonis, 88 nucleotides. The record is from the annotation of a GenBank genome assembly. Lineage: Eukaryota; Metazoa; Mollusca; Cephalopoda; Sepiida; Sepiidae.
UGGUUCCCGUACGAUCACCAAAGAUAAGCAACGUCAAGCCUGAUCUGUACUUAGAUGGGUGACCACUUGGGAAUACCAGGUGUUGUAA